Molecule: ribosomal RNA, 439 nt
Filed under: uncultured bacterium
Lineage: Bacteria
Description: partial 16S ribosomal RNA
Rfam family: Bacterial small subunit ribosomal RNA
Source: RNAcentral
CUACGGGCUGCUGCAGUGAGGAAUAUUGCACAAUGGGGGGAACCCUGAUGCAGCAACGCCGCGUGGAGGAUGACGCAUUUCGGUGUGUAAACUCCUUUUAUAUGUCAAGAAAAUGACGGUAGCAUAUGAAUAAGCACCGGCUAACUCCGUGCCAGCAGCCGCGGUAAUACGGAGGGUGCAAGCGUUACUCGGAAUCACUGGGCGUAAAGGACGCGUAGGCGGGUUGGAAAGUCAGGUGUGAAAUCCUACAGCUUAACUGUAGAACUGCACUUGAAACUUCUAAUCUAGAGUAUGGGAGGGGGAGAUGGAAUUCGUGGUGUAGGGGUAACAUCCGUAGAUAUCACUAGGAAUACCUAAAGCGAAGGCGAUCUCCUGGAACAUUACUGACGCUAAGGCGUGAAAGCGUGGGGAGCAAACAGGAUUAGAUACCCCCGUAGUC